GGGCGAUUAGCUCAGUUGGUAGAGAAUCUCCCUUACAAGGAGGGGGUCACUGGUUCGAGCACGGUAUCGCCCACCA
Molecule: transfer RNA, 76 nt
Filed under: Morganella morganii
Lineage: Bacteria; Pseudomonadati; Pseudomonadota; Gammaproteobacteria; Enterobacterales; Morganellaceae
Description: tRNA-Val
Rfam family: tRNA
About the family: Transfer RNA (tRNA) molecules are approximately 80 nucleotides in length.
Source: RNAcentral